This is a long non-coding RNA of Synchiropus splendidus (mandarinfish), 910 nucleotides long. RefSeq lists it as uncharacterized. The record is from RefSeq and is a predicted model, not a curated record. Lineage: Eukaryota; Metazoa; Chordata; Actinopteri; Syngnathiformes; Callionymidae. The transcript is spliced from 3 exons.
CCAAACAUGCAUCCUUUUGAGGGAAGGACUUCAAAAGGCCAUCUGGAGAAAAACAAGAUAAGUUAAAGAUAUGAUUAAUUGCCUUGGCAUGAGAAAACGGACGUCGGUAUGUCUUCAAAGCCGUGUGUGGCUAUAUAAGCGCUCGGAGAUGUGACCCUGCGUUCUUGCUCUUUUUGGAUCUUCGCCCGCGUCUGUCCGCCGUAAGGUCUUGUAUCUUAUCUUGGGACGGUGCUCUUGCUGUUUGCUCUCAGACCAUCUGAUUUUAACUCAUCUUUUAUUUCUCUCUUACUAUUUUUGAAUUAAUCCUUUUUAUUGAAGUAUUUUUGAUUAUAUGGUUUUUGAAGUAUAUGUACUAGUAUCAGCGUCUGGCGAUACCCUUGAGUUUAUGGAUUUUAUUAUUCUUGAUUGACUUUGCUGUUUUUACUAUUCUUUUAUCAAUUUUUGAAGAAAUACUUUUGUGACAAAAAACAUAAUAAAAUUGAGUACGAAUUAAGUACUGAAAAGGCACAACGGCGUUGAUCCCUGACUACUAAAGAAUCAACUGGCUCCUACCUACUACCAUCAAUUGGGUUAUAGAGAGCCGGGACGCUAGGGUCAUUUCAAGGUUCCCCUUCAUGCCUAGGAUGGCAGGAAUCAGGAUGAAGAGCUCUGUGAUUUCCAGGAACACGUCCCAGUUCUUGUGUCUGCGAAUGAUCGAGAAGCAGUUAGCAGUCACGACGGGACUUUGGAACACACAGAUGCUGAACAUGAUGCCUGCUGAACAACUGGCUCUCGUGGUGACUGAGAGACCACAUCUGUACCCAUCACCUGAUUAAUUGGAGGACUCUCAUCAUACUCCAGACGUGACUGAAGAAUGAGGUGUUGUUAUGAUUACAUUACAAAUGUGUUUAAAUCAUGAUCUUAUGUUUCU